Molecule: long non-coding RNA, 1002 nt
Filed under: Junco hyemalis (dark-eyed junco)
Lineage: Eukaryota; Metazoa; Chordata; Aves; Passeriformes; Passerellidae
Description: lncRNA (ENSJHYG00000014131.1)
Source: RNAcentral
AUACAAUAGAAUAGAAUGAAUAUUUCAGUUGGAAUGUACCUACAACGCUCAUCUGGCCCACCUAUCUGACCUCUUCAGUGCAUUAAGGACAAAUGUCCAAAUGCCUCCUAAACACUGACAGAUUUGGGGAAUCAAACACCUCUCUUGAAGUCUGUUCCAGUGUCUGACCAUCCUCUUGGUAAAGAAAUGCUUCCUGAUGUCCAGCCUAAACAUCUCCUGGUGCAGCUUUGAACAAUUCCCGUGUGCUCUGUCACUGGAUACCAGGGAGAUGAAUCAAAAUUUGACAUAGAAAGAAUCACAGAAUGGUUUGGGUUGGUGAUAUUGGUGUCCAGCAGCAUCUGGAAGGAGGAGGAGGCACCUAAUCUGAGGUGUGAAUUUAGGGAACUUUGCUGCUGGGCAUUAGGGAUCCUGCAUAGUUUCAGGGUGUGAAGUUUAUGAGUAGGAGUUUGAGGAUUUCAAGUUUGGAUUUAGAUACAACUCCCACAUCUCUCAAAGGUGCUGUAAAUACUCAUAAUUUUUCUGGGAGAAGAGAUAUUUGGAGAACUGCAAGUCUGGGGCUUAAAAUGUGCAGAGAUCCCAAGUUACCAGGGAUGCACUGAUAUCAGCAAAAGCUAAAACAAAAGAGCCUGUUAAAGUAAAGAGGACAACUCCAAUGUGCUCCAGAAGACCUUUUGGAAAAGCUCAUUCCAAUGUGCUCCAAAAUUCAGUAUUGCUCACUGAAGACCUCACAGUUUGCAUUUGGGGGACUGAAAGUUGCUCCAUGGAAUUUGGAAGCCAUGCUUUCAGAGGGGAACUUGAAGGACAAAACAAAGGAAGCAUUUGCAGCCUGUUUCUAUCUCUCUUACCCUGGCAGACUCGAAGGUGCUUUGUCAAGGCUGUGGUUUGGAAAGUGUUAAGCAAAUUUGGCCAAGGCCCAUGGAUGCCCCUGUAGCACAAGGCAGGAAGAGCAGCAACAUUUAAUGAGAUUCUCCCUCAGGAAUGAUGGAGGAAAAGAGAACCUUU